UAGCGACGACGUGGUGAUUUGAUGCCGGAUUGCGGGCCACGUUAAACAUUCCGCUAAAAGGGUUUGAGGGGUCUGCCC
This 78-nucleotide non-coding RNA is filed under the name Loktanella atrilutea. The record is from RNAcentral. Lineage: Bacteria; Pseudomonadati; Pseudomonadota; Alphaproteobacteria; Rhodobacterales; Roseobacteraceae.